Long non-coding RNA from Osmia bicornis bicornis, 940 nucleotides. RefSeq lists it as uncharacterized. The transcript has 3 exons. NCBI's taxonomy places the organism in Eukaryota, Metazoa, Arthropoda, Insecta, Hymenoptera, Megachilidae. The record is from RefSeq and is a predicted model, not a curated record.
AGUUGGAUCGAUUAAUCGAUAUUUUCGAUUCACCGUUGUGCGGAAAACAAAUGAAAAUCAACUAGAGCAUCAGAAAUCCAAGAUGGUAAUGUGGUAUCACGAAAUUGCGAGGAACUUGCGUAGAGUCGGAACUACGCAAAAGUGAAUGUCUGCAGGUCAAAAGGACGGGGAAAACCUAUGAGUCAGCGGUUCCAGUGAGGCGCUCAAGGUCCUCUUGGAAAAAGGGGGUGCGAAGCGAAAUAGCAAGCGAACAUGUCCAUAUUUGGUCGUAGACGCGCCAGAAGAUUGUUUGCGUGGUGGGGAAAGCCGAGUGAUUAAAAAGGGAUGUUUUCGCCGAAAGGGCAGAACUAGUGUGCAAGACGCGAGACUACCAAGUCGUUUAAGUUGAACCAAGUCGUUUAAGUUGUUUAAGUUGUUAAGUUGUAUUCAGUAGAGUUAAUUAACCGGAUAGUUUUAUUUUAUUAUUAGUUCCUAGCCACUGUAAACAUAUAUAUAAAUAAAUUUUAUAUUUACUAUAGUAAGUACCUUCAAGACGCACGUACAUUCGUGUCUUUCUUAUUUUAUGAAAUAAGAAGUUUAUAUUAUUAUUUACUGUGCAUAUUUUUAGGAUAAAAUGGAUUGUUCAACUGCCGAGAGGCAGAACGACAAAGAAGUAGGAGAAAAUGGAGAUAAUCACGAAGAAACAAACAGAGGAGGAGGAAGCAGCUCUGACAAAUAUAACGAACGAGUGGAAAAAUCAGAAGAACAAUAUAUAAAAGAAAUCUCAAAUUGAAAAAAGAAAUUAAAAGACUGAAGUACAGUUGAGGAGGAAGGGGCAGAAACCAUGACAGAGGAGGAGGAAGGGGCGGAAAACGAGGAUGCGGAGGAAGGGGUGGAAAGAACUGUCCUAUUAUUAUAUUUAAAUAAAAAAAAUUAAAAAGAGUACUAUGGUUUGUUUGUU